RNAcentral lists this ribosomal RNA (253 nucleotides) under uncultured bacterium. Its description in RNAcentral is "partial 16S ribosomal RNA". It matches the Rfam family "Bacterial small subunit ribosomal RNA", at positions 524 to 776 of the family's 1533-position model. The record is from RNAcentral.
UACGUAGGUGACAAGCGUUGUCCGGAUUUACUGGGCGUAAAGAGCGCGCAGGCGGUCAUUCAAGUCGAGUGUGAAAGCCCCCGGCUCAACUGGGGAGGGUCAUUCGAUACUGAUCGACUCGAAGGCAGGAGAGGGUAGUGGAAUUCCCGGUGUAGUGGUGAAAUGCGUAGAUAUCGGGAGGAACACCAGUGGCGAAGGCGACUACCUGGCCUGUUCUUGACGCUGAGGCGCGAAAGCUAGGGGAGCAAACGGG